This 153-nucleotide ribosomal RNA is filed under the name Enterobacter cloacae. Its description in RNAcentral is "partial 16S ribosomal RNA". It matches the Rfam family "Bacterial small subunit ribosomal RNA", at positions 337 to 484 of the family's 1533-position model. RNAcentral also lists the same sequence under 2 other names. Lineage: Bacteria; Pseudomonadati; Pseudomonadota; Gammaproteobacteria; Enterobacterales; Enterobacteriaceae. The record is from RNAcentral.
UCCUACGGGAGGCAGCAGUGGGGAAUAUUGCACAAUGGGCGCAAGCCUGAUGCAGCCAUGCCGCGUGUAUGAAGAAGGCCUUCGGGUUGUAAAGUACUUUCAGCGGGGAGGAAGGCGUUGAGGUUAAUAACCGCAGCAAUGACGUACCCGCAG